This 450-nucleotide ribosomal RNA is filed under the name uncultured bacterium. RNAcentral's name for it is "partial 16S ribosomal RNA". It matches the Rfam family "Bacterial small subunit ribosomal RNA", at positions 354 to 796 of the family's 1533-position model. The record is from RNAcentral.
GUGGGGAAUAUUGGACAAUGGGCGAAAGCCUGAUCCAGCCAUGCCGCGUGUGUGAAGAAGGUCUUCGGAUUGUAAAGCACUUUAAGUUGGGAGGAAGGGCAGUAAGUUAAUACCUUGCUGUUUUGACGUUACCGACAGAAUAAGCACCGGCUAACUUCGUGCCAGCAGCUGCGGUAAUACGAAGGGUGCAAGCGUUAAUCGGAAUUACUGGGCGUAAAGCGCGCGUAGGUGGUUUUGUAAGUUGGAGGUGAAAUCCCCGGGCUCAACCUGGGAACUGCCUCCAAAACUGCAUGACUAGAGUACGGUAGAGGGUAGUGGAAUUUCCUGUGUAGCGGUGAAAUGCGUAGAUAUAGGAAGGAACACCAGUGGCGAAGGCGACUACCUGGACUGAUACUGACACUGAGGUGCGAAAGCGUGGGGAGCAAACAGGAUUAGAAACCCUGGUAGUCC